RNAcentral lists this transfer RNA (67 nucleotides) under Encarsia obtusiclava. RNAcentral describes it as "tRNA-Pro". The record is from RNAcentral. Lineage: Eukaryota; Metazoa; Arthropoda; Insecta; Hymenoptera; Aphelinidae.
CAAAAGAUAGUUUAAAUUAAAAUAUUAAUUUUGGAUAUUAAUGAUAUAGAUUAUUUUAUUUUUUUGA